GAUGAACGCUGGCGGCGUGCCUAAUACAUGCAAGUCGAGCGAACAGACGAGGAGCUUGCUCCUCUGACGUUAGCGGCGGACGGGUGAGUAACACGUGGAUAACCUACCUAUAAGACUGGGAUAACUUCGGGAAACCGGAGCUAAUACCGGAUAAUAUAUUGAACCGCAUGGUUCAAUAGUGAAAGACGGUUUUGCUGUCACUUAUAGAUGGAUCCGCGCCGCAUUAGCUAGUUGGUAAGGUAACGGCUUACCAAGGCAACGAUGCGUAGCCGACCUGAGAGGGUGAUCGGCGACACUGGAACUGGGACACGGUCCAGACUCCUACGGGAGGCACCAGUAGGGAAUCUUCCGCAAUGGGCGAAAGCCUGACGGAGCAACGCCGCGUGAGUGAUGAAGGUCUUCGGAUCGUAAAACUCUGUUAUUAGGGAAGAACAAAUGUGUAAGUAACUAUGCACGUCUUGACGGUACCUAAUCAGAAAGCCACGGCUAACUACGUG
RNAcentral lists this ribosomal RNA (497 nucleotides) under uncultured bacterium. RNAcentral's name for it is "partial 16S ribosomal RNA". It matches the Rfam family "Bacterial small subunit ribosomal RNA", at positions 28 to 507 of the family's 1533-position model. The record is from RNAcentral.